ACAAGCGGUGGAGUAUGUGGUUUAAUUUCGAUGCAACGCGAAGAACCUUACCUAGGUUGACAUCCGGAGACCUUCCCGAAAGGAAGGGUGCCCUUCGGGGAAUUCCGAGACAGGUGCUGCAUGGCUGUCGUCAGCCCGUGCCGUGAGGUGUUGGGUUAAGUCCCGCAACGAGCGCAACCCUAUUGCCAGUUGCUACCAGGUAAUGCUGGGCACUCUGGUGAGACUGCCCGGUUAACGGGGAGGAAGGUGGGGACGACGUCAAGUCAUCAUGGCCCUUACGCCUAGGGCUACACACGUACUACAAUGGCGCAUACAAAGGGCAGCGAUACCGCGAGGUGGAGCCAAUCCCAAAAAGUGCGUCCCAGUCCGGAUUGCAGUCUGCAACUCGACUGCAUGAAGUUGGAAUCGCUAGUAAUUCGAGAUCAGCAUGCUCGGGUGAAUGCGUUCCCGGGCCUU
Molecule: ribosomal RNA, 456 nt
Filed under: uncultured Desulfovibrio sp.
Lineage: Bacteria; Pseudomonadati; Thermodesulfobacteriota; Desulfovibrionia; Desulfovibrionales; Desulfovibrionaceae
Description: bacterial SSU rRNA
Rfam family: Bacterial small subunit ribosomal RNA
Source: RNAcentral